This is a non-coding RNA of Paramuricea clavata, 1126 nucleotides long. NCBI's taxonomy places the organism in Eukaryota, Metazoa, Cnidaria, Anthozoa, Malacalcyonacea, Plexauridae. The record is from the annotation of a GenBank genome assembly.
UUUCGUAACCAUUUCAAACGACAACAUCACAGAAGGAAGAUCGAUUUCACUCUGAACAUAUGAACUAAAGUCUGUAAAGAGACGCAACAAAUACUACCCCAGAUAUGCAGUUUGUGAACUGGUCUUUGUUUACAAUCCAACAAUCCAGCAGUCCAACAAUAAGUUAUUGAUCCAAUCCCAUUCAUUGAUUUGUACUUGAAUAAUUAACACAGUCUAUAAUCCAACAACUACAAUGCAAAUUGCGAAGCCAGGGUUAAAUAAAAAUGAGAUUCCAUACAAAUGUUGUAUAAAAAAGUUGCUAUACUGUAGAUAUUCUACCAAAAUCCAACACUCAAAAAGUCACCACCAAAAAUAACCAUCAUGUGGUUAUUAAUUGUUAUUAUUUAAACCGAUUUCUAUAUAGUUUUAGCAUGUCCAAAAUAGACGAAAAGGAUAAUAAAAUAUUUAAAUAGGCAGGGACCACAUUUUUAAUUUCGGAAUUACCAGUCAGAGUAAGACCAGUAGGUAAUCGUACCAACUUUUUUUUCAAAAAGUAUUAGUUGGAUACCACAAUGGAGCAUGGCAGAAUUAUUUUUGUUUUACGUGAUAUUGUACUUAGUUCAUUAUAUUCCAUCUUAUAUAUAUAUUCAAAAGGACUGGAAAUUGCUUGUACCUUUAGCUACAUCUAAUGAAAAUAAACAAAAAUAAUUCUGCCAAGCUCCCUCGGUACAUACACCUUCCUUUCUCAUUAUUAUUUGACCUUGGCUUCCAUCAGUGAUGGUAUAAAUAAUCACCAGAGGCUGGUUGUUCAACGCUGGGUUAGCUUAACCCUAGGUUAACCUAAAAUUCAAAGCCGAAACUUGUUUAUAAAUUUGGAAAUAUUGCUUCAGAGAUCUUGUUUGGAUCAAUAGGAGUUUUCUUCUCUGAAGCUUUGAAAUAAACAGACGUGCAGAAAUACAUAAACCAAAACAGCAGGUUAAAUUUUAACCUGGGGUUAUUGCUAAUCCAGCUUGGAGCAACUGGCCCCUGUGCUUAAUUAAUCACUUCAUCAAAUGAAGGUUAUGUUAGAAAAUUUGUAUGAUGUAAUGAUUUUUUUUAAAAAUGUAAAUGUAUGACAUGUAUAUAAUAAAAUGUUAUAAUAUGUUGC